AACGAACGCUGGCGGCAUGCCUAACACAUGCAAGUCGAACGAGACCUUCGGGUCUAGUGGCGCACGGGUGCGUAACGCGUGGGAAUCUGCCCUUGGGUUCGGAAUAACUUCGGGAAACUGAAGCUAAUACCGGAUGAUGACGUAAGUCCAAAGAUUUAUCGCCCAAGGAUGAGCCCGCGUAGGAUUAGCUAGUUGGUGAGGUAAAGGCUCACCAAGGCGACGAUCCUUAGCUGGUCUGAGAGGAUGAUCAGCCACACUGGGACUGAGACACGGCCCAGACUCCUACGGGAGGCAGCAGUGGGGAAUAUUGGACAAUGGGCGAAAGCCUGAUCCAGCAAUGCCGCGUGAGUGAUGAAGGCCUUAGGGUUGUAAAGCUCUUUUACUCGGGACGAUAAAUGACGGUACCGAGAGAAUAAGCCCGGCUAACUCCGUGCCAGCAGCCGCGGUAAAGUC
RNAcentral lists this ribosomal RNA (453 nucleotides) under uncultured bacterium. RNAcentral describes it as "bacterial SSU rRNA". It matches the Rfam family "Bacterial small subunit ribosomal RNA", at positions 29 to 526 of the family's 1533-position model. The record is from RNAcentral.